UACGUAGGGUGCGAGCGUUAAUCGGAAUUACUGGGCGUAAAGCGUGCGCAGGCGGUUUUGUAAGCCAGAUGUGAAAUCCCCGGGCUUAACCUGGGAAUGGCAUUUGGGACUGCAAGGCUUGAGUGCGGCAGAGGAGACUAGAAUUCCUGGUGUAGCAGUGAAAUGCGUAGAUAUCUGGAGGAACACCGGUGGCGAAGGCGGCAUCCUGGACCGGCAUUGACGCUGAGGCGCGAAAGCUAGGGGAGCAAACGGG
This 253-nucleotide ribosomal RNA is filed under the name uncultured bacterium. RNAcentral's name for it is "partial 16S ribosomal RNA". It matches the Rfam family "Bacterial small subunit ribosomal RNA", at positions 524 to 776 of the family's 1533-position model. The record is from RNAcentral.